RNAcentral lists this ribosomal RNA (253 nucleotides) under uncultured bacterium. RNAcentral describes it as "partial 16S ribosomal RNA". It matches the Rfam family "Bacterial small subunit ribosomal RNA", at positions 524 to 776 of the family's 1533-position model. The record is from RNAcentral.
UACGAAGGGGGCUAGCGUUGCUCGGAAUCACUGGGCGUAAAGGGCGCGUAGGCGGCCAUUCAAGUCAGAGGUGAAAGCCCAAGGCUCAACCUUGGAACUGCCUUUGAUACUGUUUGGCUUGAGACCGGUAGAGGUAAGUGGAACUGCGAGUGUAGAGGUGAAAUUCGUAGAUAUUCGCAAGAGCACCAGUGGCGAAGGCGGCUUACUGGACCGGUUCUGACGCUGAGGCGCGAAAGCCAGGGGAGCAAACGGG